GAUGAACGCUGGCGGCGUGCCUAAUACAUGCAAGUCGAGCGAACAGACGAGGAGCUUGCUCCUCUGACGUUAGCGGCGGACGGGUGAGUAACACGUGGAUAACCUACCUAUAAGACUGGGAUAACUUCGGGAAACCGGAGCUAAUACCGGAUAAUAUAUUGAACCGCAUGGUUCAAUAGUGAAAGACGGUUUUGCUGUCACUUAUAGAUGGAUCCGCGCCGCAUUAGCUAGUUGGUAAGUUAACGGCUUACCAAGGCAACGAUGCGUAGCCGACCUGAGAGGGUGAUCGGCCACACUGGAACUGAGACACGGUCCAGCCUCCUACGGGAGGCAGCAGUAGGGAAUCUUCCGCAAUGGGCGAAAGCCUGACGGAGCAACGCCGCGUGAGUGAUGAAGGUCUUCGGAUCGUAAAACUCUGUUAUUAGGGAAGAACAAAUGUGUAAGUAACUAUGCACGUCUUGACGGUACCUAAUCAGAAAGCCACGGCUAACUACGUG
This 497-nucleotide ribosomal RNA is filed under the name uncultured bacterium. RNAcentral's name for it is "partial 16S ribosomal RNA". It matches the Rfam family "Bacterial small subunit ribosomal RNA", at positions 28 to 507 of the family's 1533-position model. The record is from RNAcentral.